AGGAAAUCUAAGCUUUUAUGAAGAAAUUCUUUCUCUCACUAAAAAAACUCUUGCAGAGAGUCUUGAAAAUCAUUUAUACUAGAUUCAGGACUUCAAAUCUCUUGAAUUAUAUUGAAGGAAUCUUUGAGUACUGUUGAGAGUUCCAUUGAAUAGUGAGAAAGUACAAUUAUUUUAAUCUUUUGAAGGACACUACUUUCACGUGAAGUGUUUUGUCUUGUCAUCUUUGAAUCUUUUUUAAGGACAAUAAUUUCAUAUAUUCCUGUUUCAUAUAAUAAUUUUGCUUUUGAUUGAUGGAAAANNNNNNNNNNNNNNNNNNNNNNNNNNNNAACUUUUGAGGCGGUAAGCAUAAUUGAAAGAGGAUAAUACUCCUUGAGCUUUAAACCCUGUGUCUUCAGUAUUCAUACAAAUACAUAUAGUCAUUUUGAAUUUUUCUUAGUUUUUUGAGCAAUUUCUUGAGCAAUAAGUUCAUCCAUAUCUAUCCUAUAGCAAUCAUCUUCAUUACUUUAGGAAUAGUCUGUUUGUGAACCUUUUUGAAAAGAACUUUCUUAAAUUAAUUUUGAUCCAUUGAAGUGGAUUUCACAAACAAUUGCUAAUUCCUCUUGUCUUUUGCAUUGAUCAAACAUAGCCGAAAGUCUCGAUUUUUCAGCAAGAAAAUCAGCCUAUUUUUCUUGCUCUUUCUUUGAUAUUUUUGGAACUCCAAUACUUCAUCGUUCUUGGAUCCAUAAAUUUACUGCCUUAGGACAACAAUUUGUUUAAUAAAACUUUGACCACCAUUUGAUUUUGAAUCUCCGAACUAUCUUCUUAGCAUUGAAUUCAGAGACUGGCUUUUGAAUGAUGUGAAAGUACCAAUGAAAAAUCCAUGAGACUUUAAGAUUGAAGGCAAAUUGAAACAAAACAUUUUCUUGAGGCCUUAAAAAUUGUUUUGCCUCAAAUUUGAAAUGUUCAAACCAUUGGUGAGUAAGACUAGUUAAAAUAGUCUCAUCAAGUCCAAAAUAUUUGAAGCAUGUUUGAAAGAAUUUUAGAAAGUUUGAAGGACAUACUAGAUUGAAAAGAAUAUACCAAGAAUGAGAAAUUGGUCUAAAAUAAAAGAUAUUGAAUCAAGCGUCCUUUUAAUCGAAAUAAUUGAAUCAAGAUUCGAAUGUUUCAUCUUUUUUCUACCACUAGCACCAUAAAGAUGCUCAAUAGUUUUCUCAAAAUAUUUUGUAGGGAUUAAUCCUUCUCUAAUACAAUUUUGAUAAGCUCCUAAAUCAAUUAAGACUCUGGAGGUUAAUUUGAAUUUUUUAUUGACAACAAUAGUCAUGAUACAAUACCAUUUUUGAAGUUGAAUACAGUUAAUGACAUUAACCUUUUCNUCAUCAACUUGAGGAAUGGAAUGAUGGGGAGUAUUUUGAGUAUCAUCUUCUUCGUUUGAAAUAGGGAAAUCGUGAUUAGAGACGUAUUCUUUUUCUAAAUCUUUUGCUUUUAAAAAUACGACUUCUAAAUAAACAUCUUUCAUCUGACGUUAAAGUGUUGAAAUUUGAGAUUUCAUAUCAUUCAUUUAUGAUCUUAAAUUACAACUAGAAGUUUUUGAAACGUUUAAAGAUUCAGUUUUAAAACCGAUUUAAUAUAUUUUGCAUAUUAAAGGGCUCAACUAAAGAUUUUGAUGGCAAAAGAUAAUAGAACAUUUUCUUUAGUUAAG
Molecule: long non-coding RNA, 1678 nt
Filed under: Olea europaea subsp. europaea
Lineage: Eukaryota; Viridiplantae; Streptophyta; Magnoliopsida; Lamiales; Oleaceae
Source: RNAcentral